CCCUGGGGAGUCUAUCUGUCCCGCGCCACCAAGCGACCUCGCUCACGAUCGCCACGCGUCAAUUGCAGUCGCUUUCUCCCUCGCGCGACUAAUGGAAUCAGAAUUAGCCUUUCUUCACCUCGCACCCGCGAGUUGCUUGCUUCUGUGCUAUACGAAGCGAGCGUCUCCGAUUUGAAUUGCUCGUGUUGUUUUCUUUUGUUUUUGGCGAAUGGC
This 213-nucleotide non-coding RNA is filed under the name Aurantiochytrium limacinum. The record is from RNAcentral. Lineage: Eukaryota; Bigyra; Thraustochytrida; Thraustochytriidae.